Molecule: long non-coding RNA, 387 nt
Filed under: Chinchilla lanigera (long-tailed chinchilla)
Lineage: Eukaryota; Metazoa; Chordata; Mammalia; Rodentia; Chinchillidae
Description: lncRNA (ENSCLAG00000024322.1)
Source: RNAcentral
GAGCCUCUGUCUGAGGACUAGUCCCUGGUCCUUCUUGCUAGGGAGGUGGCUAGAGGUCCACGGUUCUGUCCCCGGCCGGCCCUAGGAACGUGAGGGGUCCGGGUGUGCAAAGAGCUGCUCACGGCGGAGACAACCUGGAGAAUGUGGCCUCUUUUGAAAUGAAAUAGCAGAUUUGAAAGAAGAGGAUAGUUCACAAGAGAGUUCAGAGCCGCAGGAUGAGGAUGAUAGCAGGAUGUGAAUUCAUCAUGGAUGUGAAUUCAUCAUGGAUGACGUGAAGCUUCUUAAUUCAUAACAUGGAAAAGGCAAGAUUGACGUUUUGGACAGUCCAGCGGUUUAAAACAGCCAACAAAUAAAUAAUCUAAAAAUAAAUACACUAUUCAUUCCUGC